RNAcentral lists this ribosomal RNA (495 nucleotides) under uncultured bacterium. Its description in RNAcentral is "partial 16S ribosomal RNA". It matches the Rfam family "Bacterial small subunit ribosomal RNA", at positions 28 to 507 of the family's 1533-position model. The record is from RNAcentral.
GAUGAACGCUGGCGGCGUGCCUAAUACAUGCAAGUAGAACGCUGAAGGAGGAGCUUGCUCUUCUGGAUGAGUUGCGAACGGGUGAGUAACGCGUAGGUAACCUGCCUGGUAGCGGGGGAUAACUAUUGGAAACGAUAGCUAAUACCGCAUGACAACAGUUAUUGCAUGAUAACUGUUUAAAAGGGGCAACUGCUCCACUACCAGAUGGACCUGCGUUGUAUUAGCUAGUUGGUGAGGUAACGGCUCACCAAGGCGACGAUACAUAGCCGACCUGAGAGGGGGAUCGGCCACACUGGGACUGAGACACGGCCCAGACUCCUACGGGAGGCAGCAGUAGGGAAUCUUCGGCAAUGGACGGAAGUCUGACCGAGCAACGCCGCGUGAGGGAAGAAGGGUUUCGGAUCGUAAAGCUCGGUUGUAAGAGAAGAACGAGUGUGAGAGUGGAAAGUUCACACUGUGACGGUAUCUUACCAGAAAGGGACGGCUAACUACGUG